Molecule: ribosomal RNA, 492 nt
Filed under: uncultured bacterium
Lineage: Bacteria
Description: partial 16S ribosomal RNA
Rfam family: Bacterial small subunit ribosomal RNA
Source: RNAcentral
AGUGAACGCUGGCGGUAGGCCUAACACAUGCAAGUCGAACGGCAGCACAGUAAGAGCUUGCUCUUACGGGUGGCGAGUGGCGGACGGGUGAGGAAUACAUCGGAAUCUACUUUUUCGUGGGGGUUAACGUAGGGAAACUUACGCUAAUACCGCAUACGACCUACGGGUGAAAGCAGGGGAUCUUCGGACCUUGCGCGAUUGAAUGAGCCGAUGUCGGAUUAGCUAGUUGGCGGGGUAAAGGCCCACCAAGGCGACGAUCCGUAGCUGGUCUGAGAGGAUGAUCAGCCACACUGGAACUGAGACACGGUCCAGACUACUACGGGAGGCAGCAGUGGGGAAUAUUGGACAAUGGGCGCAAGCCUGAUACAGCCAUACCGAGUGGGUGAAGAAGGCCUUCGGGUUGUAAAGCCCUUUUGUUGGGAAAGAAAAGCAGCAGGUUAAUACCCCGCUGUUCUGACGGUACCCAAAGAAUAAGCACCGGCUAACUUCGUG